GAGCGGCGGACGGGUGAGUAACGCGUGGGUGACCUGCCCCAUACCGGGGGAUAACAGCUGGAAACGGCUGCUAAUACCGCAUAAGCGCACAGAGCUGCAUGGCUCGGUGUGAAAAACUCCGGUGGUAUGGGAUGGGCCCGCGUCUGAUUAGGCAGUUGGCGGGGUAACGGCCCACCAAACCGACGAUCAGUAGCCGGCCUGAGAGGGCGACCGGCCACAUUGGAACUGAGACACGGUCCAAACUCCUACGGGAGGCAGCAGUGAGGAAUAUUGGUCAAUGGGCGCUAGCCUGAACCAGCCAAGUAGCGUGAAGGAUGAAGGCUCUAUGGGUCGUAAACUUCUUUUAUAUAAGAAUAAAGUGCAGUAUGUAUACUGUUUUGUAUGUAUUAUAUGAAUAAGGAUCGGCUAACUCCGUGCCAGCAGCCGCGGUAAUACGGAGGAUCCGAGCGUUAUCCGGAUUUAUUGGGUUUAAAGGGAGCGUAGGUGGACUGGUAAGUCAGUUGUGAAAGUUUGCGGCUCAACCGUAAAAUUGCAGUUGAUACUGUCAGUCUCGAGUACAGUAGAGGUGGGCGGAAUUCGUGGUGUAGCGGUGAAAUGCUUAGAUAUCACGAAGAACUCCGAUUGCGA
Molecule: ribosomal RNA, 627 nt
Filed under: uncultured Bacteroidales bacterium
Lineage: Bacteria; Pseudomonadati; Bacteroidota; Bacteroidia; Bacteroidales
Description: bacterial SSU rRNA
Rfam family: Bacterial small subunit ribosomal RNA
Source: RNAcentral